ACGCGUGGGAAUCUGCCCUGGAGUGGGGGAUAACCGAGGGAAACCUCGGCUAAUACCGCAUACGGCCUGAGGGCGAAAGAUUUAUCGCUCUAGGAGGGGCCCGCGUCGGAUUAGCUUGUUGGCGGGGUAACGGCCCACCAAGGCUAUGAUCCGUAGCUGGUCUGAGAGGAUGAUCAGCCACACUGGGACUGAGACACGGCCCAGACUCCUACGGGAGGCAGCAGUGGGGGAUAUUGGACAAUGGGCGCAAGCCUGAUCCAGCAAUGCCUAGUUAGUGAUGAAGGCCUUAGGGUUGU
Molecule: ribosomal RNA, 296 nt
Filed under: uncultured Sphingomonadaceae bacterium
Lineage: Bacteria; Pseudomonadati; Pseudomonadota; Alphaproteobacteria; Sphingomonadales; Sphingomonadaceae
Description: partial 16S ribosomal RNA
Rfam family: Bacterial small subunit ribosomal RNA
Source: RNAcentral